GCUCAAGUGACCGAUGUGAAAUGUGUUAUGACGGAGAACAUUGAGAAUGUCUGAAUCAUAUAUCCAUGUCAAUCUCACAAUUUUAUAUCAUUCAUUUGAGAAUACAUGUCAUAUACGACUUGAGUUUUCUCUGCUCCUUUCACACUUUUGCGAAACUGACUGAGGUUUAUGUAAUUCAUUAACUUGCAGGGUCUUCUUGACUGCAGUGAUUGAAAAAUUGAGCUUCUAGUGGACAAAAUCCGAGAACCUUUGUUCACAGGCACAAGAUUUCAGAGGGCCAGGAACGAAAAUGACAAGAAAGAUGUGGUUUCAGAACAUGAGGAUUAAGGUCAUAGUCCUCUCGGUUUGUCAUGGCUUCAAGUGUGCUUAAUAAUUUGAAAGAAGAAGAAGAAGAUUACGUUGAGGAAUUAUACCAAGCUGAUGGGAAACUCUGCCCGAGGUAUACGCCCUUCUUUUUUUGUUCUGUUUUCGUGGUCUCUUUUUUUUUUAGUUUUUAUAGGUUUUUCAUUUGAUUUUGUUAGGGAUAAUGAAAUAUGAUCCUUUAGGGUAUGAAUAUAUUUGGAAAGAGAUUUAAGCU
Arabidopsis lyrata subsp. lyrata is the source of this 577-nucleotide long non-coding RNA. RefSeq lists it as uncharacterized. The record is from RefSeq and is a predicted model, not a curated record. The transcript has 2 exons. Lineage: Eukaryota; Viridiplantae; Streptophyta; Magnoliopsida; Brassicales; Brassicaceae.